Oncorhynchus kisutch (coho salmon) is the source of this 4248-nucleotide RNA transcript. It is a transcript of the gene named sodium channel subunit beta-2, with no coding region annotated. The transcript has 6 exons. NCBI's taxonomy places the organism in Eukaryota, Metazoa, Chordata, Actinopteri, Salmoniformes, Salmonidae. The record is from RefSeq and is a predicted model, not a curated record.
AAUCAACUAUUUCUACAGCUACAGUCACUGCCAGCCAUAUCAUAGCACUGAAAAAAUAACACAUAUUUUAAGCUUUUUUUAAAGUACAACAGAAGAUUUGACGAUAUUUGUAUUUUAAUCAUAUAGCGUGACGUUUUACUACAAGGAGAUACAAUGCAUUUUACAUUACAAGAGCGAAAUAAGACGUGGAUGCCAGCUAUCAACUUGAGCAUCGUGGGAUUGGUGGUUUAUAUUAUGGCCUGGCCUGUGUCCAGUAUGGAUGUCCUGGUCCAUAACCAGAUCAACGUCCUGAACGGCACCAUGGUGAGGAUCCAGUGCAUCUUCACUUCCUGCUACAAGAUGGACGUCAACAAGUUUGCCAUGAACUGGACCUACCAGGAGAACACCAAUGAGACUGAGGAGAUGUUCAUGACCUAUAAGAAGGGGAUGAUGCCCCUGCGGACAGACCGGUUCAGUGACCGAGUGCAGUUUGUGGGUAACCUGGAAAAGAACGACUUGUCCAUCACCCUCUCUGAUGUCCAGCUGUCGGACGAGGGCGUCUAUAACUGCUACGUCCGUAACCCCCCCGACCGCAUCCAGGGCCACGGAAUCAUCAACAUGUUUGUCGUCACAGAAUUGCCUCCCCCGCGGGACUCGACCAUAGCGGUUGCGAUCGGGGCGUCAGUCGGCGGUGCGCUGGCUCUGCUCAUCCUGUCCAUGGUGGUGGUGAAGUGCAUACGGCGUCACAAGAAACAGGAGCUCAUCUCUGACGAGCAGAAGAUGGAGGAAGAGGGCAAGCUGGAUGCAGAGGGGGGCCCCGAGGAGGGAACCAAGCAGCUAUAACCGGCCUGCAUGGUCCUGGAGGCCCAAGGUUCGCUGGAGCCCAACCUCCUCCCUCACGCUGGAAAGCAUUCCUGCCUGAAGAUGUAUAGUGACCCUUGCUUGAAUCCUCGUCCAGCAUCUGCCUCAGCCCACGCCGCCUCCCUUCCUUCCUCUUGUCCAUCCAAACAAGAUUGCAGUUAUGGGAAGCCCCAGCCACCAGCCACGCAACCCACGCCACCCCUGCCUCUAUCUUCAGUCAGUCUUAUCUCCUCUCUUCUUCGACGGGGGGCCACAAAAGGUGUAGGAGACUAGUAGACGGCAGUCUCCAAACGACAUUCCUCUUUCCCCUUUUUCUCGCUUUUGGUUUAGCUUAAGAUAGAGAUGUAAGACCUUAAUUUGAUCCCCCUCUAGCAGCAUAACUUUCCUACAAUGCAGUAUGUUUAAAAUGUGUAUUGUAUUGGAGGUUUUAAAAGGCUUCUGAAGUUUUCCCUAAUGGAAAAUGCAUCAACUCUUAGAAAAAGAUAAAUUCAUUCUAAUCCACAUAAUCAUUCACAUUUCCUGUUGCUGCAGGACUAUUUUCCUGCUGUAGAAAACUGGCUCAAAUUAAGAUCCUACAUCUGUAGAGUAAAUGGAUGGUUUGACAUCCGUGAUUACUGGGAAAGAUCCUGCUCUCUCUUUCUCUCUCUCUCUCUCUCUCGCUUUCUCUGUAUCGCUCUCUUAAAUUGUUGUCUUCUAACUUGCCACACCAUUGGAUAACAAAUGAUUUACUUCCAAAUCAUAUAAUUCUCUCUCGCUCUUGCUCGCUCACUCUCUCUCGCUCUAAUUUUCUUUCUCUAUCACAUUACUUAGCGAUGCAUAAUGGCUGGGGCAAAAAAGUUCCCUUUUUUUCUGACAGCUCGUGUGUGUGUGUGUGUGUGUCCAAAUUCUACCUUUCUGUGUGAGAAUGGUGUGGGUGGAUUUUUGGCUGUGUGUGUUAGUUUUUAUGUACAGGGUAUAAGCUGAAUGACCUUCAGACGUAACUACGAGCAGUGUGGGUGUAUACACAUGUGUGAAUACGUGUGGGUUUGUGUGUGUGUGUGUGUGUGUGUGUGUGUGUGUGUGUGUGUGUGUGUGUGUGUGUGUGUGUGUGUGUGUGUGUGUGUGUGUGUGUGUGUGUGUGUGUGUGUGUGUGUGUGUGUGUGUGUGUGUGUGUGUGUGUGUGUGUGUGUGUGUGUGUGUGUGUGUGUGUGUGUGUGUGUGUAUUUGAGAAUGUGUUUUAGUGUCCUUAGUGUCCGAGUGUCUUUCCUUCAAACUCAGAGUCUCCCUUAAUGGAGAAGCCAGGCAUGAUUUUAUCAGUAGUCAACUCUUCUGAACCCUUGCUUCAAUAUGAUAUUUUAGCCUGUGUUGCUUGCUCAUACAUCGAAACAAAACACACUUGUAUCGCUAUGAAUGAAGCUAGUACAAUAUCAUACAUAAGCAUGACAUUUUUUUGCACACAUUAAGACAGGCACAAUUCUGUCUACAGUGGAUGGAUCAUUAAUGGUCUGACAUUAUAUACUAACUGACAUUGUACAAAAAACCCAAUCUCCAAAUGAUGUCCCCCUUUUGUCCACGUGCAGUAACCCUUACACAACACCUGAAUGUCCGGCCCUAGUUGGUCGUUGACACUCAAAUGAGCACACAGACACAUUGACUAUACGUGAUCCAACACAUAAGCUUCAAACACCACAUGCAGCCGUGUAGCUGUUUUGCACACCAGAAGUCCACACGCCGAGGCCUACACAUACAUAAAAGCUGAGCACUUUCAGGGAAAACAGAAAAAAAGUACAAUAGAGAAACAUUUAUAUCGGAUACAUAUAUUUAUACGUUUUGACCAAAUACCAAGCUGUACUCUAGAGGUGUGCUUUGAUUGUUGUCGCUAUUUACGUGUGGUCCUCACUGUCUUAAACUAUCAAUGUUGGAAUGUAUGAGGCCUCUCUCCUCUGAGGUAAUUGAUAUUGGAUGUUCUAUGGAUGUUACAUAUUUAGCUAUAUUAGUAUUGCACUGGUUGUGAAUGUAUUUGGGAGACAACGUGAGAUGUCCAAGUUGACGUAGCAACUAUAUACAAUCAAUCAUUCCACUUCUCGCCCAUUGAAUUUCAAACUACCUUCACAGAUGUAGGGCUUACAAGUAUUGUAAUGUAUGUAAGUCUGUGAAGGAUCACACAAAGUAUAAACUGUGGAUUUGCUAAACAAUAUCACAACCUUAAAAUAGUAACAUUUAUUUAUUUUAGUGAAAAUGUUACCUUCAUUUGCUCCUUGUGUUUAAAAGUCUUGGCUUUGUAUUUUCCAACAGACAGUGUUGGGGGAGCAGAUAGCCUAUGGGAGUGUGACUUUAGGUUGGCAGAAUAUGACUGGGUGCCUCAGGUGUUGUCUGAUGUGGUUUUAAGGCCUAAAGCCGGGGGCCACGCUGAUUCUGUGCCCAGGAGUGCCCUACCUCAUCUGGAGACAGUCUCUCCCUGUAUCUGCAAUGGGCACUGCAUUCAUAGUCUGCCUUUACAUUAUUCACUGCUAAAGCUUCUUUCUUGCACACUUUGUUUCUUAUUAUUUGUCUCCUCAGAUCCGUCCUAGCUUAGAUUUCAUUUGAUUGAGUAUUGUAUUUUGACAUUGUUGAAUUUUGUACCACGCAGUUAUGUAAUUUGUACUUUAUGAUGUGACUUUGUGGUUGUCCUAGCUGUUGACGUUGUGGUAGCCAUCAUUACUUGGUCUUGGUAAGUUGGCCUAAGUUUGGGGAGCUCACGUCUGAAAGAUCAUUAAUUUAACAGUGGAAGGUCAAUGCUGAUCUCCACUUGUAGGGUUUACACGCUCCCUUUCUAGAAUGACUUCAUUACUAAUUACUAUAUGAAUUAAUUCAACUUCUGUGCAAUUGUGACUGUGGUGUUAAUCAGUUUGUAUGGAGUCUGAGACAUCAGCUAGAUGCAUGGUUAGAAGUCUGGGAAGCGUGUUCUCCUAACCAGAGAAUAUAUCUCUAGGUCACAAUCAGACUUAAUUUCCAAAGUAAUGAUGGUACCUCAAGAAUUAACCCCCCCAAAAUUAUAAUUUAGAUUGUACUGUAUUUUAUACACGAACACACACACACACUCACACAGUGCUACCGAUGGGUAGGGGACAAAGCACAUGAUCCGGAAAAAAAAAGGGGCCGCCUAAUGAAAUCAACACGACCUCCAUUUCUCCUGUCACUCACUCUGACAUCUCCGCUGGAGUCCUGAAUGCUGGGUAGCUAGCUGGGAUAGUAGUGGAGGUCCCGGAGUUUCCCCUGUCUGUCUCUGUGUGAUCAUGCAUGUUUUUACUGCAGUCUUCCUCUGUGACGCAUGGCUCUAACCAGGCCCUCUCGCACCGGACACCCGAAAUGCUUGCACUGCACUGUGUCUCUAAGAAUGAGCUGUAAUCAAUAUUGUAUUUUGAAAUAAAAAUGAGUACAUAAAUAUUA